CCAAGAUGGAGGGCUCGCCUCGAGAGCUGGUGGACUUGAGCCUGGAGGAUGACACCAUGACGGACGAGGAGGUUGGACUCUCCAUCGCCGAGGGACUUCAUGAGAGGAAACCAGAACUCAUAGUGCGAGUGGUGGAGGUCCUAGGACGCGAAAAGGCCCUUGAGCUAUACAAAGAGACGCAGAAAGUGGAGCGCGAAGGGGGCCUCAUGAUCUUGAAUGGCUCAAGAAGAAGAACCUCAGGCGGCGUGUACCUGCAG
Non-coding RNA from Penaeus vannamei (Pacific white shrimp), 257 nucleotides. Lineage: Eukaryota; Metazoa; Arthropoda; Malacostraca; Decapoda; Penaeidae. The record is from RefSeq and is a predicted model, not a curated record.